Long non-coding RNA from Lycium ferocissimum, 424 nucleotides. RefSeq lists it as uncharacterized. NCBI's taxonomy places the organism in Eukaryota, Viridiplantae, Streptophyta, Magnoliopsida, Solanales, Solanaceae. The transcript has 2 exons. The record is from RefSeq and is a predicted model, not a curated record.
GACCGAAGUUACAUUGAAAUUGUUUGUAAACUGUCUAGGCUAAUAAGGAGUAUCUUGAUAUUGCCCAAGUCUAAGUGACACAGGGAUAUAAAUUGAGGCAUGAACACCUCAAAAUGAUUACAUUGACAUGUGAAAUGGGGACCUUACUGUAUAGGUUAAAAGAAAGCAUCCUGGAAGAUUUAAUGAGGAACGGAUCAAGUCAUGGAGGACGAAGUUUCUGAUGCUACCAUAGCAACAGGGAGUCACUUCUAACUUUGGUUUUAACUGUGUAGUUACAUUAGGGGGAACACAACAUUUUUAAGUUGGGAGUGAGACUUCAUUUUGAUGGAUAUUUUUGUGAUGGGGUGUGAUAUGUCAUGGUGGAUGAUAAUUUGGUAGAUUGAUUUUAUUUUGGUAUUUUUUAAUGACAUUUAUAUUAGUAUGA